CUAACAUAUGUGCGAGUAUGCGGGCUGUAACCCUGUAUGCACAAUGAAAGUGAGAGUAGGGAGAGGUUUGCUUAUGGUAUUCCUCGCACCUACGACCGACCACGAUCUUUGUGAGAGGUUUGAGUUGUAGCACAUCUGUUAG
Molecule: non-coding RNA, 142 nt
Organism: Eimeria maxima
Lineage: Eukaryota; Apicomplexa; Conoidasida; Eucoccidiorida; Eimeriidae
Source: Rfam